This 566-nucleotide ribosomal RNA is filed under the name Vishniacozyma victoriae. Its description in RNAcentral is "partial large subunit ribosomal RNA". It matches the Rfam family "Eukaryotic large subunit ribosomal RNA", at positions 99 to 655 of the family's 3401-position model. Lineage: Eukaryota; Fungi; Basidiomycota; Tremellomycetes; Tremellales; Bulleribasidiaceae. The record is from RNAcentral.
CGGGAUGAGCUCAAAUUUAAAAUCUGGCGUCUUUCAGGCGUCCGAGUUGUAAUCUAUAGAGGCGUUUUCCGCGCCGGACCGCGUCCAAGUCUCUUGGAAUAGAGUAUCAAAGAGGGUGACAAUCCCGUACUUGACGCGACAACCGGUGCUCUGUGAUACGUUCUCAAUGAGUCGAGUUGUUUGGGAAUGCAGCUCUAAAUGGGUGGUAAAUUCCAUCUAAGGCUAAAUAUUGGCGAGAGACCGAUAGCGAACAAGUACCGUGAGGGAAAGAUGAAAAGCACUUUGGAAAGAGAGUUAAACAGCACGUGAAAUUGUUAAAAGGGAAACGAUUGAAGUCAGUCGUGUGAAAGGUAUUCAGCCGUCUCUGGCGGUGUAUUUGCCUUUCACGGGUCAACAUCAGUUUGAUCCGGUAGAAAAAGGCAGGAGGAAGGUGGCACCCUCGGGUGUGUUAUAGCCUCUUGUCAUAUGUGCCGGACCAGACUGAGGAACGCAGCUUGCCGCAAGGCCGGGGUUCGCCCACGUACAAGCUUAGGAUGUUGACAUAAUGGCUUUAAACGACCCGUCUU